This 241-nucleotide ribosomal RNA is filed under the name uncultured Staphylococcus sp. Its description in RNAcentral is "partial 16S ribosomal RNA". It matches the Rfam family "Bacterial small subunit ribosomal RNA", at positions 99 to 334 of the family's 1533-position model. Lineage: Bacteria; Bacillati; Bacillota; Bacilli; Caryophanales; Staphylococcaceae. The record is from RNAcentral.
CGGACGGGUGAGUAACACGUGGAUAACCUACCUAUAAGACUGGGAUAACUUCGGGAAACCGGAGCUAAUACCGGAUAAUAUUUUGAACCGCAUGGUUCAAAAGUGAAAGACGGUCUUGCUGUCACUUAUAGAUGGAUCCGCGCUGCAUUAGCUAGUUGGUAAGGUAACGGAUUACCAAGGCAACGAUGCAUAGCCGACCUGAGAGGGUGAUCGGCCACACUGGAACUGAGACACGGUCCAG